Molecule: non-coding RNA, 3166 nt
Organism: Camellia sinensis
Lineage: Eukaryota; Viridiplantae; Streptophyta; Magnoliopsida; Ericales; Theaceae
Source: RefSeq, a predicted model, not a curated record
CUCAACUAAUUUCAUUUUUGCCGCGCUCGGACUUCACCAACACACUUGCCCCUUCAAGUUUUUACGGUUAGGGUUUCCCAUCUCUCUCUCAAAAAACCCUUUUUUUUUUCCAUUCUCCGCAAGGUUCUGUUUCAAUUCAGCAGCUUCAGUGCCAAGAUUUCCUAAGCUUGAAGAACCCUAACUUGGUUCUAUGUAGUUUUGGGCAUUAGAGGUCAGUUUUCCCAACUUUCAUUACUGAUUAUGUUCGUUUUCACUUCAAUUUUAUGGAGGUCUUCAAUAUUUGCUAUAAAAUUUUAGCAGGGAUUCAAUUUUUUUUUUUAAGAAGGAAAAAUUUCAACUUGAUAUUUUCUCAUGUUCACAUCUCAACCUGAACACUUGAGGGGCUCGUGGGCCUACCACAGAUCCCGUUUAGAUUAUCUUGAACUUCUCAUUUUGUAGAGCCCUCAAGGUAUAUCAUUCAUGAAAAAAUUAGUUUGAUCUUCGUAACCUUUUUACUUUUUCUCAUUUGUCUUAAAAAAAAUGGAUUAUCCAUUUUUUAGAGAUAAACAAGAUAAAAUGAAAAUGUUAUGAUUAUGAGAUCGACAUAAUUUUUUUUUUGGAUAAUAUACAUCGAGAUUCUUACAAAAUGACCGAUUCAUAUCAUCAAAACGGGAAUCGUGAUGGGCCUCACUGGCCCCUCAAGUUCUCUCAUAUUGAGAUUUGAACAUGAGAAGCCUAACCCUUUAUUUUAUUUAUUUAUUUUGGUUCAAAAUCUUCUUUUCCAAUUUUGCUAACAAUUCAUUGAAACAUACUACUGCCCAAAAUAUGGUAUCUGUUAUUGUAUAUGUGUGUGUGUUUUAGUUUUUAUAGUUAUGGAGCAAUAUUAUAAAAGAAAAUCGAGCAUAGAAUCUUCAUCUUCACCAAUUCAGGACGAGUCUCCAAAACAGAGUCGUAUAGAAAUUGACUUGCCAGACCUUCCUGAAGAUCCGGGGCUACGACCUCAGAUUACGUAUUAUCAUCGUAUCAUCUGAGAACAAGGUUUAACCCUUUAUGGUUUGAUGAAUUUGGUAGUUGGUUGGAGUAUAGCAUAGCUAAAGAUGCUGCAUUUUGCCUUUGUUGUUAUCUUUUUAAACCCAUCGUAGGAGACCAAGGAGGUGGUAAGUCUUUUGUUAUUGCUGGGUUUUCAAGUUGGAAGUAAAAAGAAAGGUUGCAAGGUCACGUGGGAGGUGUUAAUAGCUCUCACAAUCUAGCUUGGAGAAAAUGUCAGUACUUACUGAAUCAAAAGCAACAUAUUGAAACAGUUUUCUCCAAGCUAUUUGAUGAAGCCAAGAGUGAUUAUAGAGUUCGAUUGACUACAUCAAUUGAUUGCAUCCGACUUCUUUUGCGACAAGGGAUUCCAUUACAUGGGCAUGAUGAAUUUGAAGAUUCAAGCAACCAAGGAAACUUUCUUGAGCUUUUGAUGCUUCUUUCAGAUCAAAAAGAGAAUCAUAGAGCUGUUUUGUCAAAAGAUGUUCCUGAACACCUUAAGUUGACAGCACCUAGUAUUCAAAAGGAUAUUGUUAAUGCCAUUGUGGUUGAAACUACCAAUGCUAUUGUUAAAGAACUUGGUGAUGGCAUGUUCUCUAUUGUCUUUGAUAAAUCUUGGGAUGCAUCGAUGGAGGAACAAUUGAUUGUUUAUUUGAGAUAUGUGGAUGGGUAGGGGAUCUGUGAUUGAGCAUUUUUUGGGUAUUAAACAAAUUUCUAGUUCUAGUGUUCUUUCACCUAAGAAGGCGGUUGAAGACUUAUUUUCUACACAUGGCUUAAGCAUAUCUAGGUUGCGUGGACAAAGUUAUGAUGAGGUUAAUAAUAUUGAUAUGCAAGGUGAGUUCAACAAACUCACCACACUUAUAAUUGGAAGAGAAUGAAAGUGCGUAUUAUGUUCAUUGUUUUGCUCAUAAACUUGAAUUAACUCUUGUGGAGGCAACAAAGAGUAAUAUCCAUAUUGCAACACUCUUUUAUGUGGUUACUAAAGUAGUCAAAGUUGUUGGAGCUCCAUGUAAGCAUCAAGAUGUUCCUCGGGAGAAGCAAGUUGCUAAAGUUGUUCAAGCUUUAAAGAAUGAUGAGAUUACAAGUGGGCAAGGUCUCAAUUAAGAGGACACUCUUAUUCUUGCGGGAGAUAUAUGUUUGGGAUCACAUUAUGGAACUUUGCUGAGUUUGAUUAGUAUGUUUUCAGAUGUUCUUGAUGUGAUAGUAGAUGAUGGAUCCUAUUCCAAUGACAGAGCAGAAGCAUUCUACCUAUUUGACCCUUUACAAUCCUUUGAUUUUGGUUUAAUCUACAUUUGACGAAAUCCGUAUUGGGAAUUACAAAUGAUUUGUCACAAUCAUUACAAAGAAAGGAUCAACAAAUUGUGAAUGCGAUAUGACUAGUUGAAGUAUGCAAGCAACAACUCCAAAUGAUGAAAGAUAACAGGUGGAGUUCUUUGAUGGAUGAAGUUUCCUCUUUUUUUGAGAAAUGUUGUAUUGAUGUUCCUAAUAUGGAUGACUUGUAUGUACUUUAAGGGAGAUCAAGGUGUAUAGAUCAGGAAAUGACAAACUCUUAUCACUACUUCGUCAAGUUGUUCGAUUUUGUCAUUGAUAUGCAACUCCAAGAGCUGAAUAGUCAUUAUGAGGUGAACAUUGAAUUGCUUCUUUGUGUUGCAUUCCUAAAUCCAUCCGAUUCAUUUUUUGCUUUUGAUAUGACAAAAUUGAUCUAUUUUGCCCAAUUUUAUCUAAAAGACUUUUCAGCUAUUGAGCUUGCGGCACUUCCUAUUCAACUUGAGAAUUUUAUCAUUGAUAUGCGGUCUAGUGUUGAGUUUUCAAAUUUAAAAGGAAUCAGUGACCUUGCUCGAAAGAUGGUUGAUACUAGAAAAGAGAGAAUUUAUUUCCUGGUUUACAAACUGUUGACUUUGGCACUAUUUUACUUGUUGCGACUGCCACAAUAGAGAGGGCAUUUUCUGUGCCAAAGAUUGUAAAGAACAGGCUUCGCGAUGAAAAUGGUGAUCAGUUGAUGAAUGAUAGCAUGGUUGUGUAUAUUGAGGGAGAGAUUUGUAAUAGCAUUCCAAAUGAGGCUAUCAUGCAUAGUUUCCAAAAUAUGGAAAGUCUUUGAGGUUAUUUGUAAUUAAACUCGUAUCUUAUCAAUGAAUAUCUAAGUUUUUGCUUUGUUCUUAGU